RNAcentral lists this transfer RNA (85 nucleotides) under Felis catus (domestic cat). It matches the Rfam family "tRNA". From Rfam's summary of the family: Transfer RNA (tRNA) molecules are approximately 80 nucleotides in length. Their secondary structure includes four short double-helical elements and three loops (D, anti-codon, and T loops). Lineage: Eukaryota; Metazoa; Chordata; Mammalia; Carnivora; Felidae. The record is from Rfam by way of RNAcentral.
GCCUGGGUGGCUCAGUCGGUUGAGCGUCCGACUUCGGCUUGGGUCAUAAUCUCACAGCUUGUGGGUUCGAGCCCCGCGUCGGGCU